This 1531-nucleotide ribosomal RNA is filed under the name Candidatus Blackburnbacteria bacterium RIFCSPHIGHO2_01_FULL_43_15b. RNAcentral describes it as "bacterial LSU rRNA". The stretch from base 1 to 1368 matches the Rfam family "Bacterial large subunit ribosomal RNA", at positions 1600 to 2925 of the family's 2925-position model. Lineage: Bacteria; Candidatus Blackburniibacteriota. The record is from RNAcentral.
ACUCGCAUUCGCGAGAGAUCCUUCACUAAUGUUCAGGAUGACACAAAGUGAAAAUCUGUUCAGUGGAGCCAAUCAGCAGGGAAGACUACACUUUUAUUAAAAGUGUAGGACCCUCAGAGACUACAUGUUGGGGUGUGGUAAAACACACAUGAUAUAGUCCGACCCUUGUGGCGACACAAGGAACAUGGCAGAAAUGCCCAUGUCCUCUUUAAACAGAGAGCAACAAAGUGAACUGUUCUACGGUGGGAAGCUAAGCCGCCGUAGUAAAAUUUGGCUAUAUGCUGGAAUAGCUCACGUAUCUGACAGUACUUAAAGAUGUCAUUCUGAGUGAAACGAAGAAUCUCGCAGCUUGUCUGCGUCAACUCGCAUUCGCGAGAGAUCCUUCACUAAUGUUCAGGAUGACACAAAGUGAAAAUCUGUUCAGUGGAGCCAAUCAGCAGGAAAGAUCCCGAGAGAAAUCGAGGGAAAUCCUCAGACACUAAUAUGCCAGAGCUUGUAGUAUUACAGGUAAGAUAGAGUGCGCUCUGCGUAGCGAUGCGCAGUUGAUAAUUGGGUGACCAAUUAUGUAAAUAACCUAUAAGAAGCGAAGUUCCUUGUCGGGUAAGUUCCGACCUGCACGAAAGGCGUAACGAGUUGGCAGCUGUCUUGACCUUCUGCUCGGCGAAAUUGCAAUGGCUGUGAAGAUGCGGCCUAAUUGCACCAGGACAAAAAGACCCCGUGGAGCUUUACUGUAGCUUGACAUUUCCCAGCCAUUUUUUGAUUGCUUAGAAUAGGAGGGAGUCCGCCCGCAAGGGCGAGACGCCAGUGAAAUACCUCUCUUCAGAAAAUGGCGGGAUUACCCAUAAGCCCUGGAAACGGGUUUGGGGACAGUGUUUAGCGGACAGUUUCACUGGGGCGGUGUCCUGCUAAAGAGUAACGCAGGAGCACAAAGGUUGGCUUACCACCGAUGGAAACGGUGGUGGACGUGUAAGGGCAUAAGCCAGCUUGACUGUGAGACUGACGGGUCGAACAGGUACGAAAGUAGGUCCUAGUGAUCCUCGAUAGUUUUGUGGAAGACUACGAGCUUAACGGAUAAAAGCUACCCCGGGGAUAACAGAGUAGUCGCGCCCGAGCGUCCAUAGCGGCGGCGCGGUUCGCUACCUCGAUGUCGGCUCAACAUAUCCUGGGGCUGGAGAAAACAUUUACCUUCUCUCCCUGUCAGAAAUGGCAGGGUAAUAAACAAGCCCAAAACGGAGGAGGCCAUUAUUGUACAUCCCAGGUUUUUCUGGUAUGUUUUAAUAUGGUUGGUUCCGUAGGAAAAGGAUGUUCUGAAGCUGAUAGGGCAUAUAUUGCAGGUCUUAUUGAUUGUGAUGGUGCUAUUAUGGCAUCUAUCGAAUCACAUAAGGAGAAGAAAUUUAGAUUUCGUGUAAGAGUAAUUUUACAGCUUACACAAAAGAAUAAAAAUCUUUUGCAAUGGGUACAUACUUUACUUGGUGUUGGAUACAUUAGACAAAAUCGAACGACGUUCGAUUGGAUAGCGAAAGAUCAACAU